This 494-nucleotide ribosomal RNA is filed under the name uncultured bacterium. Its description in RNAcentral is "bacterial SSU rRNA". It matches the Rfam family "Bacterial small subunit ribosomal RNA", at positions 15 to 507 of the family's 1533-position model. The record is from RNAcentral.
GAUCAUGGCUCAGGAUGAACGCUGGCGGCGUGCUUAACACAUGCAAGUCGAGCGAAGCACUUACUUUUGAUUUCUUCGGAAUGACGAGGUCUGUGACUUAGUGGCGGACGGGUGAGUAACGCGUGGGUAACCUGCCUUACACAGGGGGAUAACAGUUAGAAAUGACUGCUAAUACCGCAUAAAACAGCAGAGUCGCAUGACUCAACUGUCAAAGAUUUAUCGGUGUAAGAUGGACCCGCGUCUGAUUAGCUUGUUGGUGGGGUAACGGCCUACCAAGGCAACGAUCAGUAGCCGGCCUGAGAGGGUGAACGGCCACAUUGGGACUGAGACACGGCCCAAACUCCUACGGGAGGCAGUAGUGGGGAAUAUUGGACAAUGGGCGAAAGCCUGAUCCAGCGACGCCGCGUGAGCGAUGAAGUAUUUCGGUAUGUAAAGCUCUAUCAGCAGGGAAGAAAACGACGGUACCUGACUAAGAAGCCCCGGCUAACUACGUG